UACGGGGGGGGCAAGCGUUGUUCGGAAUUACUGGGCGUAAAGGGCUCGUAGGCGGCCCACUAAGUCAUACGUGAAAUCCCUCGGCUUAACCGGGGAACUGCGUCUGAUACUGGAUGGCUUGAGUUCGGGAGAGGGAUGCGGAAUUCCAGGUGUAGCGGUGAAAUGCGUAGAUAUCUGGAGGAACACCGGUGGCGAAGGCGGCAUCCUGGACCGACACUGACGCUGAGGAGCGAAAGCCAGGGGAGCAAACGGG
This 253-nucleotide ribosomal RNA is filed under the name uncultured bacterium. RNAcentral's name for it is "partial 16S ribosomal RNA". It matches the Rfam family "Bacterial small subunit ribosomal RNA", at positions 524 to 776 of the family's 1533-position model. The record is from RNAcentral.